CCUACGGGAGGCAGCAGUAAGGAAUAUUGGUCAAUGGACGCAAGUCUGAACCAGCCAUGCCGCGUGAAGGAUGAAGGCCCUCUGGGUUGUAAACUUCUUUUAUAGGGGACGAAAAAAGGGAAUUCUUUCCCACUUGACGGUACCCUAGGAAUAAGCACCGGCUAACUCCGUGCCAGCAGCCGCGGUAAUACGGAGGGUGCAAGCGUUAUCCGGAUUCACUGGGUUUAAAGGGUGCGUAGGUGGGCAUUUAAGUCAGUGGUGAAAUCUCCGGGCUUAACCCGGAAACUGCCAUUGAUACUAUUUGUCUUGAAUAUUGUGGAGGUAAGCGGAAUAUGUCAUGUAGCGGUGAAAUGCUUAGAUAUGACAUAGAACACCCAUUGCGAAGGCAGCUUACUACGCAAAUAUUGACACUGAGGCACGAAAGCGUGGGGAUCAAACAGGAUUAGAUACCCUGGUAGUCCACGCCCUAAACGAUGGAUACUCGACAUCAGCGAUACACAGUUGGUGUCUGAGCGAAAGCAUUAAGUAUCCCACCUGGAAGUACGGCCGCAAGUUGAAACUCAAAAUGAAUAGUAGCGUGAGAGNGCGACGACGACACGAGGAGGAGG
This 608-nucleotide ribosomal RNA is filed under the name uncultured bacterium. RNAcentral's name for it is "bacterial SSU rRNA". It matches the Rfam family "Bacterial small subunit ribosomal RNA", at positions 338 to 944 of the family's 1533-position model. The record is from RNAcentral.